GGCUCUCUCAGAGAAUCCCAACAGAGGGGACCUGAGUGCUGGGUUUGGGGCACCGAGGACACCCCACUGGCAGGUGCCCCUGGGAGCUCUGGGCUGAGAGACAUGAGGCCUUUUUCUAGCCACAUGUCAAAACAGAGCUGUAAAAUUAACAACAGUAAUAAGAGUUAUAAUAACAGAGCACCCAGUGGGAGUUUACGAUGUGAUUUAAUCCUCAAAAUAACCUGGAGAGGAAAUGUUUGCAAACACAUCUCUGAUAAAGGGCUCAGCCCCAAGUGCAAAGAAUUCUUACGACUCAAUCCUAAGAAAACAAAUAACCCAAUUUUUUUUAAAUGUGCAAAAAACCUUCACAGGCACCUCACCAAAGAAGAUAUCCAGACGUCAAAAGCUCAGCACGAUGAGGCGUUAGGGGAAUGAAGACAAACCACGGUGAGAUCCCACUGCACAGCUAUUCGAAUGAGCCGAAGUGGGAAGAUGACAGCCCCAAGUGUGGGCCGCGGUGUGCAAAGACGGGGACUCACGCGUUGCUGGAGGGAAUGCAAAAUGACACCACCACCCUGGACAGCUGCUUGGUAGUCUCCAGAAUUAAAUAUACUUUUGCUUACAACCCAGCCCUUCCACUCCCAAGAGAAAAACCAAACCACCAAAAAAAAAAACAAAAAAAAAAAAAACCUGUAUGCAAAUAGUUAUAGACAUAUUCCUCAUAACUGAAACAAAAAACUCUAGAGUCCGUCAAUUUGAGAAUGGAAAAGCUAACACUGACCGGUGGAAUACUACUCGGCCACAAAGAAGGAAAGAGGUUCGUAUACAGGCUUCAGCACAGUGAGUCUCAAAUGCAUUAUGCCAAGUCCAAGCAGCCAGACUAGAGAGACAGCAUUCGGUGAGAUUGCACCUGUGUGCCAUUCUGGACAAGGCAGAACUUCAGGGACACAAACAGAAGGGAAGAAGGGAGGCCUGAGAACCAGCUUCACUCCCCGACUUGAUAGCAGCUCUGUCCAUCCAUUUCUCUGUCUGGGCCUCAGUUUCCACCUCUGCGACGAGGAACUACAACAGAACCGCCCUCAGCGAGCUCAAAGGGUUGGAAGUGCCGCCUAUGGCCUCACCCCCACCAACCCAAACAGCGGCUCUCACGCUGGGUGAGGAAAAUGAAUUAAGAAGCUCCUGUUGAGAAUCCGGAGAACCCAGGAUAGGCCCACACAGGACAGUCCCUCCGGACUUCGCCUCUGCCCCUCUCCAUGCUGCUCCCUUUCAUCUGAUACCCUGCCUGGUCGUCAGCCAAGUAGGCUCAACCCUCGGUCCACUCCAGAAGACCCCAAAGGCCUCCAGGUCUGGGGAGGACCCACCCCAUCCCUUCAGGAGGCUCCCACCAGGCCCAUCCUGGGGGCUUGUCCUCCACUCAGAUGUCAGACUCUGAACUUAGCCCUGGUUGGAAUCCUGGCUCCACUGUCCAGCACCAGGGAGAACUUGGGACAGUUCUCAGCCUCUCCAAAGCCGGGUCCCUGCAUUUGUGUGGUCCCUGGGCCUCAGGGAGGGUGUGAGGAUGAAUGAAGUCAGGCACAGGGAGCACCUGCACAGCACCUGGCCCGAGGAGCGCUCAACAGGUGUUUCUGCUGGUAUCCUUUUCCUCAGAGGACAAUCACACAGGUGGGGAAAAGUACAUGUGUGAACGUACUCCGUGCGGUGAAAAACUGGAAAUGGAUUUAAAUGCUCAACAAUAGGGAACUGUUAGGUGGUUAUUGUAUCCUCACGAUGGGAGAGUCAGCAGGGGAGACAGAGAUGCUCCACCUAGAAAUGACCCAAAGAGGCCUCAGUCCAGGACCGUGGCAGGGAUGGGUCAGGCCUGCCCCGCCGCUGCGGAUGGCCCCCGGUACCACCCAGGGACGAGAAGACUGCGGGGCGGGACAGGGCUGAGGACCACACGGGACCCGACACAGCAGAGCUCAGGACACACUUACUGUGACAUGCUCACUUCAAGUUAGAAAAUGGGAAGAAAGAAUAUAUAUUUGUUCUUACUUGGUUUAUGUGCGGAAAACUGGAACAAAUGAUGAGCAAGUAAAAAGGCUUCCCCCUCUGUGUGGUGGGGAGGAGGAAGACGGGACUCUGAGGCCAAUUGUUCCUGGUUGUGUGUGUGUGUGUGUGUUUAUUUGUGUGUGUUUAUCUUCUUUAUUUUUAGAGAGAGACAAAGAGAGAAACAUCAAUCAGU
Molossus molossus (Pallas's mastiff bat) is the source of this 2200-nucleotide long non-coding RNA. RefSeq lists it as uncharacterized. The record is from RefSeq and is a predicted model, not a curated record. The transcript has 3 exons. NCBI's taxonomy places the organism in Eukaryota, Metazoa, Chordata, Mammalia, Chiroptera, Molossidae.